Molecule: small nuclear RNA, 110 nt
Filed under: Cricetulus griseus (Chinese hamster)
Lineage: Eukaryota; Metazoa; Chordata; Mammalia; Rodentia; Cricetidae
Description: U2 spliceosomal RNA
Rfam family: U2 spliceosomal RNA
About the family: U2 is a small nuclear RNA (snRNA) component of the spliceosome (involved in pre-mRNA splicing).
Source: Rfam by way of RNAcentral
CUUCAUUCCUCCCUUUGGCUAAGAUCAAGUGUAGUAUCUGUUCUUAUCAGUUUAAUAUCUGUUUGUUUGUUUUUCAAGACAGGGUUUCUCUGUGUAGCUUUGGAGCCUAU